GCCGGGCAUGGUGGCUCACGCCUGUAAUCCCAGCACUUAGGGAGGCCAAGGCGGGUGGAUCACGAGGUCAAGAGAUCGAGACCAUCCUGGCCAACGUGGUGAAACCCCGUCUCUAAUAAAAAUACAAAAAUUAGACUGGCCUUGUGGCGCACGCCUGUAGUCCCAGCUACUCUGGAGGCUGAGGCAAGAGAAUCUCUUGAACCCAGGAGGCGGAGGUUGCAGUGAGC
This 227-nucleotide long non-coding RNA is filed under the name Homo sapiens (human). Its description in RNAcentral is "HSALNT0398311". Lineage: Eukaryota; Metazoa; Chordata; Mammalia; Primates; Hominidae. The record is from RNAcentral.